GCGAAAUGAAACGCACUACCUAACUUGUCUGACUGAGUGCCGCUAGUUAUGUAAUUACUAACUAAGCACGUAACUGAUUAACUAGCUACGUAACUAAAUAGCUAACAAACGAACGAGAGAACAAACGAUCUGGCAAAUGAACUAAUAACUAAAUAACCAGGUAACCAAUCCAUUAACUAACUCACCAACCAAAUAACUAAACUAACAAGCUAAACUAAACCAUACAUUAUGACAUAACACUAAGACAACAUCAACAACAGCACCACAACAACAAACCACCACCACAACAACAACAACAGCAACGCCCGUAAUUCAAGUAGCGACACCUGGCAACUAGAAGCGAACCCUCUCUCUCGAUCGAAGCUUUGGAUCUGUGAAUGAACGAACCAAUGAAUGAAUAAAGGAGUGAAUGGCUUCCGCUCUGCUGGCUUCUAUUCACAUCACGGGACAGGUGAGCGUGUGGGCCGUCUACCUGUUCCUGACUAUUAUUGGUGUGAGUUUCCGGAUCCCUUAUAGCCAUUACAGGUAACAAGAUGGACGUUCGGAUCCCCUACCUGUUAUCACUAAUCCUUUGUUAGUGCUACCUUUCGAUUCCAGGCGGCGGCGUGGUGGGCGGUGGUGGCCGUGGCGGCGGCGGCGACCCUAGCAGAGGAACAGAGUGGCGGAGAGUCCAGCCCGUGGCUGCCCGCCGCCCACACCCCUUCGUGGCCGUGGUGGGCGGCGCUGGGUGGGAACGCCAAUGCCUGGUAUCCUGCAGAGAACGGCGAGGGUGAGGAAGAGGAGGCGUCGGCUGGCCCGUGGCUGGCCAAGCGGCAGCCGCCCCACCGCCUGGGCUCUGUGGUGGACCUGUACCGCACGAUGGCCCUCGGCCUGGACCCCUUCACCGCCAAGCCCGUCAUGGCCACCCCCGAGCGACGCUCCGGCCGCUGGCCCGCCGCGUGCAAGUUCAACCCGUUCAGUUUUGUGUGUUGGAACGCGGCUCGGAGGGGCGGUGUGAUGCGUCAGCGGCCCCUCCAGUACGCCCAGUAACGCCCCCGCCCCCCACCACGGCCUGACUGUGCCGACCUGCCAGGCCUGCUGAAGCUGUCUGCAGCACCCUGCCGGGGAGGAGGCCCCUUGUGCCACGCCCGCCGCCCAUCGGUGGCUCAGAGUGGCAAUGACCCUCAGCGCCACAUUCCCGACCACAACGUCGCCCCACGAGUCCUUCCCUCCCCCUACUGCGCAGCACCUGUCCCUCGCUGUCCCUCCUUCCAUCCAGCAGCAUUCUUUCUUACCCACACCCCUCUCCGCCCUGCCCCACCCCCACCCAAGAUGACCACCCCUGUCCCUCACCCACCCUCCAACCACUGAUGACCACCCCGGCACCGACCCCAGCAGUGCUUCCCGCUAUGUACGUUUUGUAUCCGUACAUGUGUCUGUUCAUCUCACUCAUGUGCGCCGCGGCAACUUUAGAAAAAAAAUAAAUCUUAACAUUU
Molecule: RNA transcript, 1475 nt
Organism: Scylla paramamosain (green mud crab)
Lineage: Eukaryota; Metazoa; Arthropoda; Malacostraca; Decapoda; Portunidae
Exons: 2
Source: RefSeq, a predicted model, not a curated record